This 245-nucleotide long non-coding RNA is filed under the name Hordeum vulgare. RNAcentral's name for it is "long non-coding RNA (HVUL_LNC014081)". Lineage: Eukaryota; Viridiplantae; Streptophyta; Magnoliopsida; Poales; Poaceae. The record is from RNAcentral.
CAAGAGAAAGUAGAACUAUAUAAAUAUUCAUCCAUCGAGGGUUUAGGAACAUUACGUAUAUAACACAACUUAUGUGAAUUCACUACAAUACAUAUCCAUAGCUGAUCACAUCUUCCCGAUUACACUUUGAUUACUUUAUUUAUGCAGUAUGCUGCUAGGUACGUAGGCGUGCAUGCAUAGCCACGUACGUACAGUAUCAAUGACGAAGAUACGUAGCCUAGUAUGGGCUCACCCCGGGGUANNNN